Molecule: ribosomal RNA, 406 nt
Filed under: uncultured bacterium
Lineage: Bacteria
Description: partial 16S ribosomal RNA
Rfam family: Bacterial small subunit ribosomal RNA
Source: RNAcentral
UGGGGAAUAUUGGACAAUGGGGGCAACCCUGAUCCAGCAAUGCCGCGUGUGUGAAGAAGGUCUUCGGAUUGUAAAGCACUUUCGACGGGGACGAUGAUGACGGUACCCGUAGAAGAAGCCCCGGCUAACUUCGUGCCAGCAGCCGCGGUAAUACGAAGGGGGCUAGCGUUGCUCGGAAUGACUGGGCGUAAAGGGCGUGUAGGCGGUUUACACAGUCAGAUGUGAAAUCCCCGGGCUUAACCUGGGAGCUGCAUUUGAUACGUGUAGACUAGAGUGUGAGAGAGGGUUGCGGAAUUCCCAGUGUAGAGGUGAAAUUCGUAGAUAUUGGGAAGAACACCGGUGGCGAAGGCGGCAACCUGGCUCAUGACUGACGCUGAGGCGCGAAAGCGUGGGGAGCAAACAGGUU